UACGUAGGCAGCGAGCGUUGUUCGGAGUUACUGGGCGUAAAGGGUGUGUAGGCGGUUUUCUAAGUUUGGUGUGAAAUCUCCCGGCUCAACCGGGAGGGUGCGCCGAAAACUGGGAGACUAGAGUGCGGGAUGGGAGAGUAGAAUUCCUGGUGUAGCGGUGAAAUGCGUAGAUAUCAGGAGGAAUACCGGUGGUGUAGACGGCUCUCUGGACCGCCACUGACGCUGAGACACGAAACGUGGGGUAGCAAACAGG
This 253-nucleotide ribosomal RNA is filed under the name uncultured bacterium. RNAcentral's name for it is "partial 16S ribosomal RNA". It matches the Rfam family "Bacterial small subunit ribosomal RNA", at positions 524 to 776 of the family's 1533-position model. The record is from RNAcentral.